GCUUACGGCCAUACCACCUUAGGCACGCCCGAUCUCGUCUGAUCUCGGAAGCUAAGAUGGGUCGGGCCUGGUUAGUACUUAGAUGGGUGACCGCCUGGGAAUACCAGGUGCUGUAAGCA
Molecule: ribosomal RNA, 119 nt
Organism: Gadus morhua (Atlantic cod)
Lineage: Eukaryota; Metazoa; Chordata; Actinopteri; Gadiformes; Gadidae
Source: Ensembl